UACGGAGGGAGCUAGCGUUGUUCGGAAUUACUGGGCGUAAAGCGCACGUAGGCGGCUUUGUAAGUUAGGGGUGAAAGCCCGGAGCUCAACUCCGGAAUUGCCUUUAAGACUGCAUCGCUUGAAUCCGGGAGAGGUGAGUGGAAUUCCGAGUGUAGAGGUGAAAUUCGUAGAUAUUCGCAAGAACACCAGUGGCGAAGGCGGCUCACUGGCCCGAUACUGACGCUGAGGCACGAAAGCGUGGGGAGCAAACAGG
This 253-nucleotide ribosomal RNA is filed under the name uncultured bacterium. RNAcentral's name for it is "partial 16S ribosomal RNA". It matches the Rfam family "Bacterial small subunit ribosomal RNA", at positions 524 to 776 of the family's 1533-position model. The record is from RNAcentral.